GACGAACGCUGGCGGCGUGCUUAACACAUGCAAGUCGAGCGGUAAGGCCCUUUCGGGGGUACGACGAGCGGCGAACGGGUGAGUAACACGUGGGUGACCUGCCCUCAGCUCUGGGAUAAGCCUGGGAAACGUGGGUCUAAUACCGGAUAUGACUCCAUGACGCAUGUUGUGGGGUGGAAAGCCUUGUGCGGCUGAGGAUGGGCCCGCGGCCUAUCAGCUUGUUGGUGGGGUGAUGGCCUACCAAGGCGACGACGGGUAGCCGGCCUGAGAGGGCGACCGGCCGACACUGGGACUGAGACACGGCCCAGACUCCUACGGGAGGCAGCAGUGGGGAAUCUUGCGCAAUGGGCGAAAGCCUGACGCAGCGACGCCGCGUGAGGGAUGAC
Molecule: ribosomal RNA, 386 nt
Filed under: uncultured bacterium
Lineage: Bacteria
Description: bacterial SSU rRNA
Rfam family: Bacterial small subunit ribosomal RNA
Source: RNAcentral